Molecule: long non-coding RNA, 430 nt
Organism: Schistocerca nitens (vagrant locust)
Lineage: Eukaryota; Metazoa; Arthropoda; Insecta; Orthoptera; Acrididae
Exons: 3
Source: RefSeq, a predicted model, not a curated record
GAGAGCAUGUAGUAGCGCGCGCGAGACAGUCGGAGUUGUGUGUGUGGAGUCGGCGGGCGUCGACAUGGCCCUCUGGUCAAGAUUCAGGACGAGGUAUAUUUUUUAAAUAAGGUUCAAUAUGUGGGCUUCCGGAAUUUGCGCCAAUGACCAAUGCUGCAAGGGGUCCUUCCACUUGGUGCAGCGGUUACAGUGACCGCCUGAUGUGGAUACAAAAAUGUAGACAAAAGUCUAAGGAAAACCACUAUAUCAUCAGAUUCAACAUUAAUUUUUACAGUUGCAUCUUCUCCCCGUACAGGUGGCUUCUUACCCAGCAUUCAAUGGAAGAUGCCAGCUAUACAGUGCUUUCAGUAUCACUGUGUAGCUAUCAUGUGUUCAAAUAUUUAACGUUUAUAUUUUCUAUGUAGUUAAAUGCAGGAUCAUAUUUCAACUC